Molecule: long non-coding RNA, 549 nt
Organism: Cygnus olor (mute swan)
Lineage: Eukaryota; Metazoa; Chordata; Aves; Anseriformes; Anatidae
Exons: 3
Source: RefSeq, a predicted model, not a curated record
GUUAAUAAUAUGAUUAAUCGUGAGAUAGAAUUAGUUUUCUUAACCAAAACCAUAAUUUAACAGCCAGUGGUGAUCUUGUUGAACUGAAAGAAAUUCUUUGAAAAGUACUGCUAAUGCUUGAGUGUCAGAUUCAGAGAUCCAUAUCUCACAGAGAAAGAUUUUCAGGUGUUGAAGUUAAUAUCAACUUCUUUUUCAGGUACUCCACUGCUGAAGCUAGCCAAUGUAGAAGUUGACAUAAAAUUCCAGUAAAUGGUGAGAAGCUUUAAAUCUGUGACCUCAUGGAAUUUAGGAUCUUAGGAGGAAAGCUCAUGGCACCAAUUUCUGUCUCUGGGUGAUUCAUAGGAAAUAUAGGAGAAAGAACUCACCAGCUCUGCUCCGAGUGCCCACAACUUUCAGCGUAAGGUCAGUGCCCUUGGGAUUUUGUCUAAAUGUCUUAUUUCUACAGGAGGCGGAAGCGAAGCAAGGAACUAUACCUCUGUCUUCAAGUGUUGUCAUGAAUUUUGGAUUGUCAGCUGAAAACACAAACAGAAAAACAGCAGCUGCAGGUAA